AGAGUUUGAUCUUGGCUCAGGACGAACGCUGGCGGCGUGCCUAAUACAUGCAAGUAGAACGCUGACUACUUUAGCUUGCUAGAGUAGAAGGAGUUGCGAACGGGUGAGUAACGCGUAGGUAACCUGCCUACUAGCGGGGGAUAACUAUUGGAAACAAUAGCUAAUACCGCAUAACAGUGUUUAACACAUGUUAGAUGCUUGAAAGAUGCAAAUGCAUCACUAGUAGAUGGACCUGCGUUGUAUUAGCUAGUUGGUGGGGUAACGGCCUACCAAGGCGACGAUACAUAGCCGACCUGAGAGGGUGAUCGGCCACACUGGGACUGAGACACGGCCCAGACUCCUACGGGAGGCAGCAGUAGGGAAUCUUCGGCAAUGGGGGCAACCCUGACCGAGCAACGCCGCGUGAGUGAAGAAGGUUUUCGGAUCGUAAAGCUCUGUUGUAAGAGAAGAACGUGUGUGAGAGUGGAAAGUUCACACAGUGACGGUAACUUACCAGAAAGGGACGGCUAACUACGUGCCAGCAGCCGCGGUAAUACGUAGGUCCCGAGCGUUGUCCGGAUUUAUUGGGCGUAAAGCGAGCGCAGGCGGUUUAAUAAGUCUGAAGUUAAAGGCAGUGGCUUAACCAUUGUUCGCUUUGGAAACUGUUAAACUUGAGUGCAGAAGGGGAGAGUGGAAUUCCAUGUGUAGCGGUGAAAUGCGUAGAUAUAUGGAGGAACACCGGUGGCGAAAGCGGCUCUCUGGUCUGUAACUGACGCUGAGGCUCGAAAGCGUGGGGAGCAAACAGGAUUAGAUACCCUGGUAGUCCACGCCGUAAACGAUGAGUGCUAGGUGUUAGGCCCUUUCCGGGGCUUAGUGCCGCAGCU
Molecule: ribosomal RNA, 863 nt
Filed under: uncultured bacterium
Lineage: Bacteria
Description: bacterial SSU rRNA
Rfam family: Bacterial small subunit ribosomal RNA
Source: RNAcentral